AUCCACGUAGGCAACCGAGAGACAAAAAUUAAAAUUAAAAUUUAAUUUAAUUUAAUCUAGUUUAACAAAAUCUAUGCCCACGUGGUAGAUUACGUCACACGUGGAAGAAAGCGUUGGCCCUGCUGGACUUCAAUGCAGCAGUGAGCCCUAAUUUAUACCCGCCCUGGCACGGUCACCAUCCCCUGAUACUCAUUUCCGCACCCUCCCUCCCUUGGGCAAGGUCCUUGUUGAUUUUUAUUAUAACAAGCAUGUAGUAAAACAUUGUAAAUAAUGUACUAGAUACAAACCUAUAAUUCUCUAUUAUAAAAUAUUAAAAUAAAGUUAAAAUAAAAAAUGCUACACAACUGGACUUGUGAAUCCUUCUAGCUUUGGAAAUUCUAUUUUAAAAGCCAAUACAAAGUUUAGCAUUUAUUUGCAUGAAUGUAAAUCAUGUAUUAAAUUUGCAUUUUAUUAUUAUUAUUAUUAUUAUUAUUAUUUUGUUAUAUUACUCAGAGAUGUCUACACGUCCAAUAGAAAUGGAAGAAAAAGAAUGCAUUGUUUUCAAAUACACAAUCCUUAUUGCUAAAGUAUUUUGUCAAUUUGUUUUUCAGAUUUGAUGUUAAAAAAUAACACAAGUAGUGUAAACAAAAAAAUUAAAUCUAAAAACUACAUAAGUAAGUUUGCCCAUGCGGUUGCAAACAAUGUCAAUUGUUUGUAUUUAGUAACGUUUUUACGUUAAUAGUCUUACCACCAUAUUUCGGUUGAUAAUCCAAUACAAAUAUUUAUGUAAUUGCAAGUUAAGUAUUCCAAUCACACAUAACUUGCAAUAACUUAGUUUCAUGACUUCACAUGUGUGAUUAUGUGUGAUCUAUAUUGACCACUAAGAAAACAAUUUGUACAAAAAGAAUGGUUGUUUUAAUGAUAAUAAUAAUUAAAAAAAAAAUGGU
This 926-nucleotide long non-coding RNA is filed under the name Physcomitrium patens. RNAcentral describes it as "long non-coding RNA (PPAT_LNC006447)". Lineage: Eukaryota; Viridiplantae; Streptophyta; Bryopsida; Funariales; Funariaceae. The record is from RNAcentral.